UCGCGUCGAACGAACUCUGGUAUUGAUUGGUGCUUGCAUCAUGAUUUACAUUUGAGUGAGUGGCGAACUGGUGAGUAACACGUGGGAAACCUGCCCAGAAGCGGGGGAUAACACCUGGAAACAGAUGCUAAUACCGCAUAACAACUUGGACCGCAUGGUCCGAGUUUGAAAGAUGGCUUCGGCUAUCACUUUUGGAUGGUCCCGCGGCGUAUUAGCUAGAUGGUGGGGUAACGGCUCACCAUGGCAAUGAUACGUAGCCGACCUGAGAGGGUAAUCGGCCACAUUGGGACUGAGACACGGCCCAAACUCCUACGGGAGGCAGCAGUAGGGAAUCUUCCACAAUGGACGAAAGUCUGAUGGAGCAACGCCGCGUGAGUGAAGAAGGGUUUCGGCUCGUAAAACUCUGUUGUUAAAGAAGAACAUAUCUGAGAGUAACUGUUCAGGUAUUGACGGUAUUUAACCAGAAAGCCACGGCUAACUACGUGCCAGCAGCCGCGGUAAUACGUAGGUGGCAAGCGUUGUCCGGAUUUAWUGGGCGUAAAGCGAGCGCAGGCGGUUUUUUAAGUCUGAUGUGAAAGCCUUCGGCUCAACCRAAGAAAGUGCAUCGGAAACUGGGAAACUUGAGUGCAGAAGAGGACAGUGGAACUCCCAUGUGUAGCGGUGAAAUGCGUAGAUAUAUGGAAGAACACCAGUGGCGAAGGCGGCUGUCUGGUCUGUAACUGACGCUGAGGCUCGAAAGUAUGGGUAGCAAACAGGAUUAGAUACCCUGGUAGUCCAUACCGUAAACGAUGAAUGCUAAGUGUUGGAGGGUUUCCGCCCUUCAGUGCUGCAGCUAACGCAUUAAGCAUUCCGCCUGGGGAGUACGCCGCAAGGCUGAAACUCAAAGGAAUUGACGGGGGCCCGCACAAGCGGUGGAGCAUGUGGUUUAAUUCGAAGCUACGCGAAGAACCUUACCAGGUCUUGACAUACUAUGCAAAUCUAAGAGAUUAGACGUUCCCUUCGGGGACAUGGAUACAGGUGGUGCAUGGUUGUCGUCAGCUCGUGUCGUGAGAUGUUGGGUUAAGUCCCGCAACGAGCGCAACCCUUAUUAUCAGUUGCCAGCAUUAAGUUGGGCACUCUGGUGAGACUGCCGGUGACAAACCGGAGGAAGGUGGGGAUGACGUCAAAUCAUCAUGCCCCUUAUGACCUGGGCUACACACGUGCUACAAUGGAUGGUACAACGAGUUGCGAACUCGCGAGAGUAAGCUAAUCUCUUAAAGCCAUUCUCAGUUCGGAUUGUAGGCUGCAACUCGCCUACAUGAAGUCGGAAUCGCUAGUAAUCGCGGAUCAGCAUGCCGCGGUGAAUACGUUCCCGGGCCUUGUACACACCGCCCGUCACACCAUGAGAGUUUGUAACACCCAAAGUCGGUGGGGUAACCUUUUAGGAACCAGCCG
RNAcentral lists this ribosomal RNA (1434 nucleotides) under Lactiplantibacillus plantarum. RNAcentral's name for it is "bacterial SSU rRNA". It matches the Rfam family "Bacterial small subunit ribosomal RNA". The record is from RNAcentral. Lineage: Bacteria; Bacillati; Bacillota; Bacilli; Lactobacillales; Lactobacillaceae.